GAUGAACGCUGGCGGCGUGCCUAAUACAUGCAAGUCGAGCGAACGGACGAGAAGCUUGCUUCUCUGAUGUUAGCGGCGGACGGGUGAGUAACACGUGGAUAACCUACCUAUAAGACUGGGAUAACUUCGGGAAACCGGAGCUAAUACCGGAUAAUAUUUUGAACCGCACGGUUCAAAAGUGAAAGACGGUCUUGCUGUCACUUAUAGAUGGAUCCGCGCUGCAUUAGCUAGUUGGUAAGGUAACGGCUUACCAAGGCAACGAUGCAUAGCCGACCUGAGAGGGUGAUCGGCCACACUGGAACUGAGACACGGUCCAGACUCCUACGGGAGGCAGCAGUAGGGAAUCUUCCGCAAUGGGCGAAAGCCUGACGGAGCAACGCCGCGUGAGUGAUGAAGGUCUUCGGAUCGUAAAACUCUGUUAUUAGGGAAGAACAUAUGUGUAAGUAACCGUGCACAUCUUGACGGUACCUAAUCAGAAAGCCACGGCUAACUACGUG
This 497-nucleotide ribosomal RNA is filed under the name uncultured bacterium. RNAcentral describes it as "partial 16S ribosomal RNA". It matches the Rfam family "Bacterial small subunit ribosomal RNA", at positions 28 to 507 of the family's 1533-position model. The record is from RNAcentral.